Molecule: small RNA, 76 nt
Filed under: Proteus vulgaris
Lineage: Bacteria; Pseudomonadati; Pseudomonadota; Gammaproteobacteria; Enterobacterales; Morganellaceae
Description: isrK
Rfam family: isrK Hfq binding RNA
Source: RNAcentral
ACAUCAGCAAAAUCUGAUGUCGGGAUUGGUCUCCUGAUAACUACGAAGGCGCAUACACCGCGCAAGCGGUUUUUUU